This 288-nucleotide non-coding RNA is filed under the name Aegilops tauschii subsp. strangulata. The record is from RNAcentral. Lineage: Eukaryota; Viridiplantae; Streptophyta; Magnoliopsida; Poales; Poaceae.
GCCAAGAAAGGUAGCGAUUGCUUGUGACCCAUGUGGGGCAUUAAGGUGGUCCGCAUGUCUGGUUUGGCGCUUGUGCUUGGUCCAGUGGGUUGCGUUUGCAUCCCGCCUAUUCUAAGUUACGAAGUGGGUAUGGGGCACUCAGGUGAAUUUUCUAGACAUCCUUGAAGCUGAAGGUUCGCUUCACAAAGUAGUUUAUUACCGUUCGCUUCCAACGGUGGGAGGAUCAAAGGUCGUUGAUCUUGUGGCCUUAUUAGGUCCAAGCUUCCUUGAUGACAUAACACCAUCUUU